Molecule: long non-coding RNA, 428 nt
Organism: Erinaceus europaeus (western European hedgehog)
Lineage: Eukaryota; Metazoa; Chordata; Mammalia; Eulipotyphla; Erinaceidae
Exons: 4
Source: RefSeq, a predicted model, not a curated record
UAAAGAGCAUAAUGGGAAACACUUUAUAUUGUAGAAGGGACUUCAGAAAGGUAACCACACCUGGAAUACAGAAGCCCAAUAGGAAAGACAGACACCAUGCUUGAGAAGUUCCAGUGGGUCAAACAGAUAAUACUCAGGACACUGCAGAAGUUGCAACCCACUCAGGUGUGCAGAGGACAAAAUUUCCAAGCAACAAUCAGAAGGAGCAUAUCAGAAGCUGACUACGCAAUUAUCGAUGCAACCUGUGAAACCUCCAUCUCCCUUGAAUAGCGUCAAGAGCCAUAUCUUUGAAAGGCAGUGUCCAAGACUUCUAGUUUGGGGACUGGGGAAGGUACUUCCUGAGUUCCUGACGCUGCCUCAGGAGGAGAAAGAUGGAGGGACACAUUGUGUGGUGGUUAGGUUGUUUGCCCUCUCCUGAAUAAAGAUAA